GCACUGCUGAGGAGUCCCAUAAUAGGACGAAACGGUGAUCCAGUGC
RNAcentral lists this non-coding RNA (46 nucleotides) under Schistosoma mansoni. The record is from RNAcentral. Lineage: Eukaryota; Metazoa; Platyhelminthes; Trematoda; Strigeidida; Schistosomatidae.